CAGAUACUUGACAAUUCCCAGGCAAGAGGUUUUUAAGGGAGAAAGGCCUGAAAAAACCUGAAAGCAAAGGCAGGUAGCUGCCUCCAGGUGCAGCACAGGGUAAGGUGAAUGUGCUUAUAGAUUUUCCAUGAAAAGAAUUUCAGCCAAAAAAAAAAAAAAACCAACCCAAUAAAAUGACCUGUUUGGUGUGGUUUAGUCGAUGAACUCUACUGUUCCUCCUGGAUUCCUGCACAUGGUCUGGACGCAGGCACUGGACGUGUCUGACCUCAGUACUCAGUCAUGUCUCAUGGGACAACUGUCCUGGAAUAGAGCCUGUCGCUCUGGAAAUGCUGGUGAUGAAACAACUGGGUGAAGAGAAGCUCGCAGGACCUUGCAGAUGCUCAGUGGGCCAUCAAACCAAAUCAAAUCGGGAGAGUAACCGUGUAGUUUAUCCAGCCUGAGAGACAAAAACCUGUGAAGAUUUGUGCUCUCCAGUCCUCUGAGGAUGCCCAGGUAUCAGCUUGACAGUAUCAGCUGUGUCACAUCUCACAUCAGACGAUGGUGUGUAUGUUCACCUUCGUGGGACUUGGGGAAAUAAUCAAGAAGGAACCAAGCCUGCAUUUCCCAAAACAAGUUUUUCAGCACCCAAGCCCAGCAGAAUCAGAAAGGAUGGAGGAGGGAGAACAAGUGGAAGUAGACACAGCUGGUCCUAGCACAUACAAGGGACUAAUGUGUUUCUACAGCCCAUUGCUCUCCUCUCACAGAGAUCAUGACAGGUAUGGCUGCCCUGUUAGGUUUUUUUAGUAAAUAACUCAAUCCAUCUUGGCUUCCUUUUCUGUAAGAUUGAGUUCAAGCUGAACAGACCUCAAGUUUCCUUUUCAGUUUCUUCACAGAAGUUAAUGUGUAAGAAGAAAAAUGAAGAGCAAUUUGGUAGCUACUAGAGAAGUGUUUACUCACCUCAGUUAU
This 945-nucleotide long non-coding RNA is filed under the name Calidris pugnax (ruff). RNAcentral describes it as "lncRNA (ENSCPUG00000001485.1)". The record is from RNAcentral. Lineage: Eukaryota; Metazoa; Chordata; Aves; Charadriiformes; Scolopacidae.